UACGUAGGGGGCAAGCGUUGUCCGGAUUUAUUGGGCGUAAAGAGCGUGUAGGCGGCCAAGCAGGUCCGCUGUGAAAACUCGAGGCUCAACCUCGAGACGUCGGUGGAAACCGUUUGGCUAGAGUCCGGAAGAGGAGAGUGGAAUUUCCGGUGUAGCGGUGAAAUGCGCAGAUAUCGGGAAGAACACCCGUGGCGAAGGCGGCUCUCUGGGACGGUACUGACGCUGAGACGCGAAAGCGUGGGGAGCGAACAGG
RNAcentral lists this ribosomal RNA (253 nucleotides) under uncultured bacterium. Its description in RNAcentral is "partial 16S ribosomal RNA". It matches the Rfam family "Bacterial small subunit ribosomal RNA", at positions 524 to 776 of the family's 1533-position model. The record is from RNAcentral.